RNAcentral lists this ribosomal RNA (505 nucleotides) under uncultured bacterium. RNAcentral describes it as "partial 16S ribosomal RNA". It matches the Rfam family "Bacterial small subunit ribosomal RNA", at positions 28 to 507 of the family's 1533-position model. The record is from RNAcentral.
GACGAACGCUGGCGGCGUGCCUAAUACAUGCAAGUGGGACGCAAGGAAACACACUGUGCUUGCACACCGUGUUUUCUUGAGUCGCGAACGGGUGAGUAACGCGUAGGUAACCUGCCUAUUAGCGGGGGAUAACUAUUGGAAACGAUAGCUAAUACCGCAUAAUAUUAAUUAUUGCAUGAUAAUUGAUUGAAAGAUGCAAGCGCAUCACUAGUAGAUGGACCUGCGUUGUAUUAGCUAGUUGGUAAGGUAAGAGCUUACCAAGGCGACGAUACAUAGCCGACCUGGGAGGGUGAUCGGCCAAACUGGGACUGGGACAAGGCCCAGACUCCUACGGGAGGCAGCAGUAGGGAAUCUUCGGCAAUGGACGAAAGUCUGACCGAGCAACGCCGCGUGAGUGAAGAAGGUUUUCGGAUCGUAAAGCUCUGUUGUAAGUCAAGAACGUGUGUGAGAGUGGAAAGUUCACACAGUGACGGUAGCUUACCAGAAAGGGACGGCUAACUACGUG